GGAAUCCGCCAAGGAGUGUGUAACAACUCACCUGCCGAAUGAAUUAGCCCUGAAAAUGGAUGGCGCUGAAGCGGGUAGCCGACACCACGCCGUCUGGACAAAGUGGUCUUUCAGAUGAGUAGGAGGGCGUGGCGGUUGUAUCGAAGCGUGGAUGCGAAUCUGCGUGGAACAGCCGCUAGUGCAGAUCUUGGUGGUAGUAGCAAAUAUUCAAGCGAGAUCCUUGAAGGGCGAAGCGGGGAAGGGUUCCACGCGAACAUUGAUUGGGCGUGGGUGAGUCGUUCCUAAGCCGCGUGGCAAUAGCUAAUUACCGGCGAAAGGGAAGCAGGUUGACAUUCCUGCACACGGAUGUGGAGACGGCGACGAUACAUGAGGCGAUCACGCUGGCGGUGGCGCUGGGCAGAGUUGUCUUUUCUGUUUGACCAUUGAAUACUUGCUGUGUGGAAUCCGCUUGUCGGGAGAAACACGCAGGUACGGGCAGAGCGCCGGGGCUUUUCCGGCGUCCAGCUCGCCACCGACGGCCCUUGAAAAAUUGCCUGCUGAACAACACUCUGUUGUUGUGAGAUCCACGCCGUGGCGUACCGAUAACCGCAUCAGGUCCCCAAGGUGAACAGCCUCUGCUCAGUAUGAACAAUGCAGGUAAGGGAAGUCGGCA
This 652-nucleotide ribosomal RNA is filed under the name Spyridia filamentosa. RNAcentral describes it as "eukaryotic LSU rRNA". It matches the Rfam family "Eukaryotic large subunit ribosomal RNA", at positions 1263 to 1919 of the family's 3401-position model. Lineage: Eukaryota; Rhodophyta; Florideophyceae; Ceramiales; Spyridiaceae. The record is from RNAcentral.